This 253-nucleotide ribosomal RNA is filed under the name uncultured bacterium. RNAcentral's name for it is "partial 16S ribosomal RNA". It matches the Rfam family "Bacterial small subunit ribosomal RNA", at positions 524 to 776 of the family's 1533-position model. The record is from RNAcentral.
UACAGAGGUCCCGAGCGUUGUCCGGAAUCAUUGGGCGUAAAGCGCGUGUAGGCGGUCCGGUAAGUCCGCUGUGAAAGUCGGGGGCUCAACCCUCGGAUGCCGGUGGAUACUGUCGGGCUUGAGUACGGAAGAGGCGAGUGGAAUUCCUGGUGUAGCGGUGAAAUGCGCAGAUAUCAGGAGGAACACCAAUUGCGAAGGCAGCUCGCUGGGACGUUACUGACGCUGAGACGCGAAAGCGUGGGGAGCAAACAGG